AUCGAACGCUGGCGGAAUGCUUUACACAUGCAAGUCGAACGGCAGCACGGACUUCGGUCUGGUGGCGAGUGGCGAACGGGUGAGUAAUGUAUCGGAACGUGCCCAGUCGUGGGGGAUAACGUAGUGAAAAUUACGCUAAUACCGCAUACGAUCUAUGGAUGAAAGCGGGGGAUCGCAAGACCUCGCGCGAUUGGAGCGGCCGAUAUCAGAUUAGGUAGUUGGGGGGGUAAAGGCCCACCAAGCCAACGAUCUGUAGCUGGUCUGAGAGGACGACCAGCAACACGGGAACGGAGAAACGGUCCAGAACGCCACGGGAGGCAGCAGUGGGGAAUUUUGGACAAGGGGAGAAAGCCUGAUCCAGCAAUUCCGCGUGCAGGAUGAAGGCCCUCGGGUUGUAAACUGCUUUUGUACAGAACGAAAAGGUUUCUACUAAUACUAGGGGCUCAUGACGGUACUGUAAGAAUAAGCACCGGCUAACUACGUGCCAGCCGCCGCAGUAA
RNAcentral lists this ribosomal RNA (500 nucleotides) under uncultured bacterium. Its description in RNAcentral is "partial 16S ribosomal RNA". It matches the Rfam family "Bacterial small subunit ribosomal RNA", at positions 30 to 523 of the family's 1533-position model. The record is from RNAcentral.